Homo sapiens (human) is the source of this 625-nucleotide long non-coding RNA. Ensembl annotates it as long intergenic non-protein coding RNA 2970. Lineage: Eukaryota; Metazoa; Chordata; Mammalia; Primates; Hominidae. The record is from Ensembl.
GGAGUGACCUGCCGUGGAGUUUCUGGUUUCCUCCUUGUGGCUUUGUCUGGAGGGCAAGCCCCACUCUCAGAUCCACAUGGCAACACAAGCAGCUAAAACGCAGAUAGAAACCCCAACCUGGGAAAAGGAGUCCUACAGCAACUUUUCAGAAGCUUCAGAAGAAGGACGCCGGAGAAUGCCCGCCCGGGACUCCGAGGUGCCCUGUGCUCAUGGAUUGGUCCUCCUGGCUCCAUGAGUGUGAGUGAGUGUCUGCAGGUCCCUGGCACAAAAGCUGCAGUGCUGAGCAGGUGGCUAAUGGCCCUGGCUGGGUGAUUUUGGACAAGUCACCUUUGCCUCUCUGGCCUCCAUUGUCCCUCUGUCAAACAGGCCCCACGACAGCAAGCGUUGGUUAUUGUGUCUAUGGUCAACAUCCCACCUGCCUUUCUGGGCAGAGACGUUUGGGAGCAGUGGCUGUAUCCCUGAGCACGUCGUAAGGGCACUUUCCUGCAUGCCCUGGCUGGAGGGACCUGUUGCUGGGAAAACUCCCCAGAGUGUGAACCGGCGGCGGCUCCACCAUCUGGGUGCCGUGGGCAUGGUGCAUGGCGGGAAGGAGGCCGGCACCACAGAAGGGUGGCAGCUGUCCCCG